AUUGAACGCUGGCGGCAUGCCUUACACAUGCAAGUCGAACGGCAGCACGGGUGCUUGCACCUGGUGGCGAGUGGCGAACGGGUGAGUAAUACAUCGGAACAUGUCCUGUAGUGGGGGAUCGCCCGGCGAAAGCCGGAUUAAUACCGCAUACGAUCUACGGAUGACAGCGGGGGACCUUCGGGCCUCGCGCUAUAGGGUUGGCCGAUGGCUGAUUAGCUAGUUGGUGGGGUAAAGGCCUACCAAGGCGACGAUCAGUAGCUGGUCUGAGAGGACGACCAGCCACACUGCGACUGAGACACGGCCCAGACUCCUACGGGAGGCAGCAGUGGGGAAUUUUGGACAAUGGGCGAAAGCCUGAUCCAGCAAUGCCGCGUGUGUGAAGAGGGCCUUCGGGUUGUGAAGCACUUUUGUCCGGAAAGAAAUCCUUGGCCCUAAUACGGUCGGGGGAUGACGGUACCGGACGAAUAAGCACCGGCUAACUACGUG
This 486-nucleotide ribosomal RNA is filed under the name uncultured bacterium. RNAcentral's name for it is "partial 16S ribosomal RNA". It matches the Rfam family "Bacterial small subunit ribosomal RNA", at positions 30 to 507 of the family's 1533-position model. The record is from RNAcentral.